CACGUAGGGCGCAAGCGUUGUCCGGAAUUAUUGGGCGUAAAGAGCUCGUAGGCGGUCUGUUGCGUCUGCUGUGAAAACUCGGGGCUUAACCCCGAGCCUGCAGUGGAUACGGGCAGACUAGAGGUAGGUAGGGGAGAAUGGAAUUCCCGGUGUAGCGGUGAAAUGCGCAGAUAUCGGGAGGAACACCGGUGGCGAAGGCGGCAUCCUGGACCAUGACUGACGCUGAGGAGCGAAAGCUAGGGGAGCAAACAGG
This 253-nucleotide ribosomal RNA is filed under the name uncultured bacterium. RNAcentral describes it as "partial 16S ribosomal RNA". It matches the Rfam family "Bacterial small subunit ribosomal RNA", at positions 524 to 776 of the family's 1533-position model. The record is from RNAcentral.